Molecule: ribosomal RNA, 490 nt
Filed under: uncultured bacterium
Lineage: Bacteria
Description: SSU rRNA
Rfam family: Bacterial small subunit ribosomal RNA
Source: RNAcentral
AGGACAAACGCUGGCGGCGUGCUUAAUACAUGCAAGUCGAACGGUACCCCUUCGGGGGUAUAGUGGCGGACGGGUGAGUAACACGUAGUUGACCUGCCCUUUAGUGGGGAAUAACUCCUCGAAAGAGGAGCUAACACCGCAUAAGCUCUCUAUCGUUGGGUAGAGAGGAAACGUGCUUCGCAAGAGGCGCGGCUGAAGGAGGGGACUGCGGCGGAUUAGCUAGAUGGUGGGGUAAAGGCCUACCAUGGCGACGAUCCGUAGCUGGUCUGAGAGGACGAUCAGCCACACUGGGACUGAGACACGGCCCAGACUCCUACAGGAGGCAGCAGUAAGGAAUAUUCCACAAUGGGCGAAAGCCUGAUGGAGCGACGCCGCGUGAGGGAUGAAGCUUUCGGAGUGUAAACCUCUUUUCUUUGGGAUGACACUCCCCGUCCGGGGAUACGACAGUACCAGAGGAAUAAGCAUCGGCUAACUACGUGCCAGCAGCCGC